Molecule: ribosomal RNA, 616 nt
Filed under: uncultured bacterium
Lineage: Bacteria
Description: bacterial SSU rRNA
Rfam family: Bacterial small subunit ribosomal RNA
Source: RNAcentral
UUCGGGAAACCGAAGCUAAUACCGGAUAGGAUCUUCUCCUUCAUGGGAGAUGAUUGAAAGAUGGUUUCGGCUAUCACUUACAGAUGGGCCCGCGGUGCAUUAGCUAGUUGGUGAGGUAACGGCUCACCAAGGCAACGAUGCAUAGCCGACCUGAGAGGGUGAUCGGCCACACUGGGACUGAGACACGGCCCAGACUCCUACGGGAGGCAGCAGUAGGGAAUCUUCCGCAAUGGACGAAAGUCUGACGGAGCAACGCCGCGUGAGUGAUGAAGGCUUUCGGGUCGUAAAACUCUGUUGUUAGGGAAGAACAAGUACGAGAGUAACUGCUCGUACCUUGACGGUACCUAACCAGAAAGCCACGGCUAACUACGUGCCAGCAGCCGCGGUAAUACGUAGGUGGCAAGCGUUAUCCGGAAUUAUUGGGCGUAAAGCGCGCGCAGGCGGUUUCUUAAGUCUGAUGUGAAAGCCCACGGCUCAACCGUGGAGGGUCAUUGGAAACUGGGGAACUUGAGUGCAGAAGAGAAAAGCGGAAUUCCACGUGUAGCGGUGAAAUGCGUAGAGAUGUGGAGGAACACCAGUGGCGAAGGCGGCUUUUUGGUCUGUAACUGACGCUGAG